UGAAACAAAAAAAAAAAAAAAAAAAAAAAAAAAAAA
This 36-nucleotide non-coding RNA is filed under the name Prorocentrum micans. Lineage: Eukaryota; Dinophyceae; Prorocentrales; Prorocentraceae. The record is from RNAcentral.